RNAcentral lists this ribosomal RNA (523 nucleotides) under uncultured bacterium. Its description in RNAcentral is "bacterial SSU rRNA". It matches the Rfam family "Bacterial small subunit ribosomal RNA", at positions 355 to 896 of the family's 1533-position model. The record is from RNAcentral.
UGGGGAAUCUUGGACAAUGGGGGCAACCCUGAUCCAGCAAUGCCGCGUGUGUGAAGAAGGCCUUAGGGUUGUAAAGCUCUUUUAGCGGGGAAGAUAAUGACGGUACCCGCAGAAUAAGCCCCGGCUAACUUCGUGCCAGCAGCCGCGGUAAUACGAAGGGGGCUAGCGUUGUUCGGAAUUACUGGGCGUAAAGCGCACGCAGGCGGAUUGAUAAGUCAGGGGUGAAAUCCCGGGGCUCAACCUCGGAAUUGCCUUUGAUACUGCCAGUCUUGAGUCCGGGAGAGGUGAGUGGAAUUCCUAGUGUAGAGGUGAAAUUCGUAGAUAUUAGGAAGAACACCAGUGGCGAAGGCGGCUCACUGGCCCGGUACUGACGCUCAGGUGCGAAAGCGUGGGGAGCAAACAGGAUUAGAUACCCUGGUAGUCCACGCCGUAAACGAUGGAUGCUAGCCGUUGGGGAGCUUGCUCUUCAGUGGCGCAGCUAACGUCUUAAGCAUCCCGCCUGGGGAGUACGGUCGCAAGAUUA